UACGUAGGGGGCAAGCGUUGUCCGGAAUCAUUGGGCGUAAAGAGCGUGUAGGCGGUUCAGUAAGUCUGCUGUGAAAGUCCAGGGCUCAACCCUGGGAUGCCGGUGGAUACUGCUGGGCUAGAGUACGGAAGAGGCGAGUGGAAUUCCCGGUGUAGCGGUGAAAUGCGCAGAUAUCGGGAGGAACACCAAUUGCGAAGGCAGCUCGCUGGGACGUUACUGACGCUGAGACGCGAAAGCGUGGGGAGCAAACAGG
Molecule: ribosomal RNA, 253 nt
Filed under: uncultured bacterium
Lineage: Bacteria
Description: partial 16S ribosomal RNA
Rfam family: Bacterial small subunit ribosomal RNA
Source: RNAcentral